UACCGCAUAACGUCGCAAGACCAAAGAGGGGGACCUUCAGGCCUCUUGCCAUCGGAUGUGCCCAGAUGGGAUUAGCUUGUUGGUGGGGUAACGGCUCACCAAGGCGACGAUCCCUAGCUGGUCUGAGAGGAUGACCGGCCACACUGGAACUGAGACACGGUCCAGACUCCUACGGGAGGCAGCAGUGGGGAAUAUUGCACAAUGGGCGCAAGCCUGAUGCAGCCAUGCCGCGUGUAUGAAGAAGGCCUUCGGGUUGUAAAGUACUUUCAGCGGGGAGGAAGGGAGUAAAGUUAAUACCUUUGCUCAUUGACGUUACCCGCAGAAGAAGCACCGGCUAACUCCGUGCCAGCAGCCGCGGUAAUACGGAGGGUGCAAGCGUUAAUCGGAAUUACUGGGCGUAAAGCGCACGCAGGCGGUUUGUUAAGUCAGAUGUGAAAUCCCCGGGCUCAACCUGGGAACUGCAUCUGAUACUGGCAAGCUUGAGUCUCGUAGAGGGGGGUAGAAUUCCAGGUGUAGCGGUGAAAUGCGUAGAGAUCUGGAGGAAUACCGGUGGCGAAGGCGGCCCCCUGGACGAAGACUGACGCUCAGGUGCGAAAGCGUGGGGAGCAAACGGGAUUAGAUACCCUGGUAGUCCACGCCGUAAACC
RNAcentral lists this ribosomal RNA (646 nucleotides) under uncultured bacterium. RNAcentral's name for it is "bacterial SSU rRNA". It matches the Rfam family "Bacterial small subunit ribosomal RNA", at positions 167 to 808 of the family's 1533-position model. The record is from RNAcentral.